This 465-nucleotide ribosomal RNA is filed under the name Triticum aestivum (bread wheat). RNAcentral's name for it is "partial small subunit ribosomal RNA". The record is from RNAcentral. Lineage: Eukaryota; Viridiplantae; Streptophyta; Magnoliopsida; Poales; Poaceae.
AUGGCGCGAAUGGCGGUCUCCGUGCUCUUCCUCAUCGCCGGCGUCGUGCUCAUGCUCGCGCUGCACGUCCUCGUCAUCGUCUGGGCGGUCCGGCGGGGCGCCGUGCUGCGGCUGCGCGGCGUGGCGCGGGAGCGGGACCGGGAGCAGGGUGAAGCGGCGGGUCUGACGGCCGACGAGCUGGGCGAGCUGCCGUGCCAGGACUUCAAGGCCGCCUCCGCGGACACGACCGCCGGCGAGUGUGCGGUGUGCCUGGAGGCGUUCCAGGGGGGCGACCGGUGCCGCGUGCUGCCGGGGUGCCACCACGGGUUCCAUGCGCAGUGCGUGGACUCGUGGCUGCGGCAGAGCCGCUGGUGCCCUGUGUGCCGCGCCGAGGUGGCCUGCCGCGGCAAGGCGGCCGGUGCGCUGGCCGAUCAGGCCGCCACCUCGGAGACCGUCGCUGAAAGACUGGGAGGUGCAGAUCGCUAG